This 500-nucleotide ribosomal RNA is filed under the name uncultured bacterium. RNAcentral describes it as "partial 16S ribosomal RNA". It matches the Rfam family "Bacterial small subunit ribosomal RNA", at positions 30 to 523 of the family's 1533-position model. The record is from RNAcentral.
AUUGAACGCUGGCGGCAUGCCUUACACAGGCAAGUCGAACGGCAGCACGGGAGCAAUCCUGGUGACGAGUGGCGAACGGGUGCGUAAAGUAUCGGAACGUGCCCAGUCGUGGGGGAUAACGUAGCGAAAGUUACGCUAAUACCGCAUACGAUCUAUGGAUGAAAGCGGGGGAUCGCAAGACCUCGCGCGAUUGGAGCGGCCGAUAUCAGAUUAGGUAGCUGGUGGGGUAAAGGCUCACCAAGACGACGAUCUGUAGCUGGUCUGCGAGGACGACCAGCUACACUGGGACUGAGACACGGCCCAGACUCCUACGGGCGGCAGCAGUGGGGAAUUUUGGACAAUGUGCGCAAGCCUGAUCCAGCCAUGCCGCGUGCAGGAUGAAGGCCUUCGGGUUGUAAACUGCUUUUGUACGGAACGAAAAGGUUUGACUUAAUACGUUGGACUCAUGACGGUACCGUAAGAAUAAGCACCGGCUAACUACGUGACAGCCGCCGCGGUAA